RNAcentral lists this long non-coding RNA (292 nucleotides) under Pan troglodytes (chimpanzee). RNAcentral's name for it is "long non-coding RNA NONPTRT001220". Lineage: Eukaryota; Metazoa; Chordata; Mammalia; Primates; Hominidae. The record is from RNAcentral.
AUAAGAGAUGCCUAUAAAGGAGCUGAAAUCUACCAGGGUGAGCAGGAGAGUCAGUCUAAGAAGGAAAUGUGAUGAUGGAAACAGAGGUUGGAAGAUGGAAGGGGACCCAGAGUCAAGGAAUGCAGGUAGAAAAGAAAAGCCUGGAUUCUCCCCUAAAGCCUCCAGAUGGAACACAGCCUUGCCUCCACCUUGAUUUCAGGACUUCUUACCCCAAGAAUCAAGAUGUCAGUACCGUGGAAUGACAUGACCAACAAUAAUAUGUUGCAACUCUGAGAUACAGCUAGAAAUUCUC